AUACGGAAGGUCCGGGCGUUAUCCGGAUUUAUUGGGUUUAAAGGGAGCGCAGGCGGAGAUGCAAGCGUGACGUCAAAUUUCGGGGCUCAACCCCGUCUCGCGUCGCGAACUGCGUCCCUUGGUUGCGGGAAGGGGAGGCGGAACUCGUGGUGUAGCGGGGGAAUGCAUAGAUAUCACGAAGAACUCCGAUCGCGAAGGCAGCCUUCCGGCCCGUCAACGACGCUCAUGCUCGAAGGUGCGGGUAUCAAACAGGAUUAGAUACCCUGGUAGUCCGCACAGUAAACGAUGGACACCCGCGGUUUGGCCUAUAUGGCUGAGCCGCCAAGCGAAAGCGUUAAGUGUCCCACCUGGGGAGUACGCCGGCAACGGUGAAACUUAAAGGAAUUGACGGGG
This 393-nucleotide ribosomal RNA is filed under the name uncultured bacterium. RNAcentral's name for it is "partial 16S ribosomal RNA". It matches the Rfam family "Bacterial small subunit ribosomal RNA", at positions 523 to 918 of the family's 1533-position model. The record is from RNAcentral.